Molecule: unclassified non-coding RNA, 99 nt
Organism: Cavia porcellus (domestic guinea pig)
Lineage: Eukaryota; Metazoa; Chordata; Mammalia; Rodentia; Caviidae
Rfam family: Y RNA
About the family: Y RNAs are components of the Ro ribonucleoprotein particle (Ro RNP), in association with Ro60 and La proteins. The Y RNAs and Ro60 and La proteins are well conserved, but the function of the Ro RNP is not known.
Source: Ensembl
GGCUGGUCCGAUGGCAGUGGGUUAUCAGAACUUAUUAACAUUAGUGUCACUAAAGUUGGUAUACCACCCCCCCCCACUGCUAAAUUUGACUGGCUAAAA